RNAcentral lists this long non-coding RNA (628 nucleotides) under Anas platyrhynchos platyrhynchos (common mallard). Its description in RNAcentral is "lncRNA (ENSAPLG00000029743.1)". The record is from RNAcentral. Lineage: Eukaryota; Metazoa; Chordata; Aves; Anseriformes; Anatidae.
UGUCACCAGCCCCACUCUGAUGUGGCCGUGACAUCAGUGGGGUUGGUGCCAGCGGCACAGUGUGGGAAGGGACUGGGAGUUGACCUUCCUCAGCAUGUGGCCAUGGAGUCCAGGGAUCUCUCCUGUCGAAUGUUGUCGUGUCAUGGGCUCGUGUCUGUGUCCAGCGGUGAGGCUAGGAGAGAAGUACAGGCAACAAGAGAAGCGCCAUGUCUACUACCAGGCCUCUCCUGGGCCCCCCCUGUCACCAGCCCCACUCUGAUGUGGCCUGACAUCAGUGGGGCUGGUGCCAGUGGCACAAUACGGGAAGAUUGGGAGUUGACCUUCCUCAGCAAGUGGCCAUGGAGUCCAGGGAUCUCUCCUGUCGAAUGUUGUCGUGUCCUGGGCCCGUGUCCAGCGCUGAGGCUAGGAGUGAAGCAAAUUCGGGCAACAAGACAUCAGUGGGGUUGGUGCCAGCGGCACAAUAUAGGAAGGGGCUGGGUGUUGACCUUCCUUAGCCAUGGAGUCCAAGGAUCUCUCCUGUAGAAGCUGAGACUUCCAGCGGAGUGCUGGAAGAAGGCUGUAGCCAUGGUCUUGCUCUGUCCUUUUCCAGGAUUCUCUCUGCAAUAAUAAAUAAUAAAAAAAAAAAACA